Molecule: unclassified non-coding RNA, 428 nt
Filed under: soil metagenome
Description: partial contains 5.8S ribosomal RNA, internal transcribed spacer 2, and large subunit ribosomal RNA
Rfam family: 5.8S ribosomal RNA (bases 1-120)
Source: RNAcentral
GAUGAAGAACGCAGCGAAAUGCGAUACGUAAUGUGAAUUCCAGAAUUCAGUGAAUCAUCGAAUCUUUGAACGCAUAUUGCGCUCUCUGGUAUUCCGGAGAGCAUGCUUGUUUGAGUAUCAGUAAACACCUCAACUCCCUUUUCUUUUUUGAAAUUGGAGCUGGACUUGAGUGAUCCCAACGCUUUCUUCCAAGAAAGUGGCGGGUUGCUUGAAAUGCAGGUGCAGCUGAACUUUUCUCUGAGCUAUAAGCAUAUCUAUUUAGUCUGCCUAAAAAACAGAUUAUUACCUUUGCUGCAGCUAACAUAAAGGAGACUAGUUCUUGUGCUGACUGAUGCAGGAUUCACAGAGACAGCUUCGGCUGACUUUGUAAACUCGAUCUCAAAUCAAGUAAGACUACCCGCUGAACUUAAGCAUAUCAAUGCGGAGGA